This is a long non-coding RNA of Macrobrachium nipponense, 3564 nucleotides long. RefSeq lists it as uncharacterized. The transcript is spliced from 3 exons. Lineage: Eukaryota; Metazoa; Arthropoda; Malacostraca; Decapoda; Palaemonidae. The record is from RefSeq and is a predicted model, not a curated record.
GGUCGCCAUGACGUCGUGUCUUCUUGUCGUCUUGUGUCGGUUGUGUCGCCUUUGUUGUUGUAUAUCUAUAAAAAUUUUAAGAUUAUGGAACUGAGACGUGGCCCUUCCGUUGUCACCAGGGCUAUUUAGGACAAGGCAUAUUUCCUUGUUGCCGAUAAUGGAAGUAGAUUUUGAGAGGCAUGACUCCAUUAGUGUCAAGUUUGCCUACCUGCUCGUUGACAGAGGGAAAGAACUGUCAGAAAAUAACGGACAUCAUUGGGCCACGUGGAGGAAAAUGUCUGAUACAUCGACCCUUCAUAGAAGAAAGAGAAGGAGGAGGAGGAAUUUAGACAAUAUUUUGUCAUUGCUUUAACUUUAUAAAUAAUAGAAUUGCAGUACUAUACUUUUUUUUAGAUAAUUCAUCUUCUGGUCUGAUAGCCAUUCCACACAAGGUCCUAGUAUGUUACUGGUUAUCACUCAAAAGAAUUGGUUCAGCUUUCCUUAAAAGUAUUACCGCUCUAGCCUUUAAAAAGAUAUGUUUAUUUUUCAAGAUUGAACAAUGCGUUUUAGUAUGCUAACUGUAUAUUGUAUUGAAUCCUUAGUAUCAGUGUAGUAUUUGGUUUUUCAUGUAUGAAAUCAUUUUUUUUUUUCGUUUAGGAUAUAUUAGUGUGUAUGACCUUGAUAUACUUACAUUUCAGUGACAAUUUCAGCCGUAAAUCUAGUAAUUCACUAGAACAUUGUUGGUUACAUUACCGAGGCAGACACUUGACUGCCUAACAAUAAUUUUGUACGUGUAUACUUUGCAAAUAUUUUAUCUUCACGUAUGCCAAAACAACCAGUGACAUCAGAAGUGGUGGAACUAGCUAGGUAACGACUAGCAACUUGUGAAACUGUCCUAUCUCAUCUGUUCAUUUCAUAAACUUAAAAACUUUCUUUCAUACGGUCAUUUUGUCAGUUUCAUUGAAGGAUUGUAUUUCUGUAUAGCCGUUCACUGUCAUCACAGGUUAGGUUAGUGCUUAGUCUGGAUUCAAGCUUCCCAAAUGCAGGUCCCUUUUACCAGUUUCCUUUAGAUGUCUUGAGAGUUCAUUCUGUCAGGAGAACCAUAUGUCAUCAGACACGUUCUUGACUUAAUACAGAUGAAAUUAUCAGGAAUGGGGUGUGGCGUUCUGUAUCGUACUAGUGAAUCAGGGUGGGAGUGGGUUACUACCCAGGUACCUGUACAAAUGAGGGGGAGAAAUAUGACCAUCUAAUUCAUGUAUAGUAUUUUUAUCGUGUCCACUGAAAUAAACUCCUCGUCCUGGUCACCUUGUAAAGUAGAACGUCUCUUAAUACCCCAUUACUAUUCCCCUUGUAUCCCUUUUCAACCUUGUGCCGUUUUUAUUUAGAACAGUGAUUAACAUCCAAAACUCUUUCUAUGCUAGACUUCAGGUUUUGCUUUUACCAGGAAUCUAUUUCUUGGUCUGCCCUUGUGUUUAGUCUGUUAUGCAAAAUAUUCAUCAGGUCCUUGGGUGUAAUAAAGUCAAGCUGGAAGUGCAUGGCUUCCAACUUCCAAAGGUAGAUGAUGUUAUUGGUUGUCCUUUUCCAUAUUUGUGGCUUUCCGUAGGGUUCUGUUCUUGUACUCAAUCUUUUUCUCCUCUAUUGGUCCCAUAGCUUUACUUCAUCUGCCUAUGGUUUAGUAAAUCGUGUUUCAUCAUCUUGCCUCUAUUGUCCUUCUCUAAGCUUGCGCUCGUUUUCAUUUUAAUUGCUCUUUCUCCAUCCUCUGCCUCAAGCCUUAGGAACAAAUCUAAUGUAUAUGGCAAUCUGUAUUUGGAAAGUUGAAGGUCUCAAAGACUCCUUAUUGGACCUUUUUUUUCUCAUCCCAUCCAUUUCCCAAUUCACUUGAUUGAUUGUUCUUUGUGUUGAAUCUAUAUAGACUACAUCCUUUUUCAAAGACUACAUCCCUUUUUCAAGGAUCCAUAUUUUGGUGGUUCAGAAAACUGGUGAAACUAUACAUCAGGGAUUGUUUAUAGAAGAGCUUACUUAUUUUCUUUAUGCACCUAUUUUUGUAUUUUGUUCCAGUAAUUCUAAUGUUUUAUUGGCUUGGUCUUUCCUUGUUUUGGAAUAUUGGUCCUGCAGAAGAGGUGGUUUCUUUGAUGUUGCUGUGCUAGAGGCAGCUCCUCCAGAAGAUGGCCCAGACCCCUUGAAAGAAAUUCUCCAGGAGGAAUCCUAAUGGUAAAAUACCAAUGACAAUGAAACAAAUAUUCCAGUGGGGUGGUUUGUUUAGUGAAUAUUUUGUCCUUUUCAUCAGUCCCUACACUGUAACACUUUCCUUCAGUUCUAAAUUUCUGUUCCAGCUGUAAGUUAUUUAUAUAUUUAUUUUUAAUAAGUGAGAACGUCUCCUGUAUUUCCCUUUACCUCCCUUUACUUGUAUUGAUCACUAUAUUCUUUGGAAGCUUCAAUUUCAAGUCAAUGGCACCUUUGGUGGGCUUGUUUCACACGAAUAGGGUUCAUCUUCUGAAUAAUAAUAAUGACAGUACUAGUAUCGUUUUUGCUUGCUUAUCAUUGAGAUAUGUAGGUACCCUUAAUGUGCUUUGUACCCUUCCCCACUUUUGUGCUUGUGUCCUGAAGAUAUAUAUACCUUCAUAAGGCCCUUCCCAGUUGUGUAGGAAAUGGGGGCGAGUCCUUUGGUUAGCAGAAGAAGGCCAUCAAUAGACGAAAUUAAGGACUUGCAACUCGCAGGUGGAGUCCACCACACACCAUUGAAUAACUAUUUUUUAUUACUUGAUAUGAAUUGGCUAUUUAAUUUGUCUGCUCUUAACUGACUGUUCUGACCUAAGUGAAAAUAAGUGGUUUGUCUCGGUGUAACAGAUAAAUUAAUAAAGUGACCAUGUAUAUAGUUUUGUGAAGCGCUCUCUCUCUCUCUCUCUCUCUCAUAAAUGCAUUCCGAAUACUUACAGUGCUGUUGGGCAGUAUAAAGAGUAUAGAAAAAAAAUGGGUAAUGAUGACAGAGCUAUACUUGAGUAAUUGAAUUUGAGCCUUGUUUAAUUGUCCAGGUAUAUUGCUUUCCAUAAGCAAUUAAAAUUCAACAGUGGGAGUCAAUAAGUACAAAGUUGAGAGAAAGUCCAGUUAUAUUUUGAGUUAUUUACAUUUACAAAAUUAUCAUCGUUUUUCGGGGCUUUUGACGUGAAAUUCAAGAAGCCUCCAAAGAAUAUCAAGGUGUUCAUCGUUAAGAAGUAAAAGAAGGUAAUUGGAAAUGCAAAGAGAGCAACUAUAGGUAAGUUUACACAUGAAUUAAAGUAUGGGUACAGAAAGAAAAAAAAGAUAAUUUUAAAACUUAAAAUGGAAUGUCGAAUAACUGGUUGGAGGAUAUAAACCACCUUUCUAGUGAGAAGGUCCAAGGUAAAGUAGUCUUGAAACCUUUGAAUGUGCUUCCCUCCAUUAAGGAGUAUCUGUAGAAAUAAGAAUGCUGCAUUUAAAGAAGCAUCGGUAAGUAUUUCGUAUGUCGAGAGAUUCCUUGAAAAUGCUAAGAGGCCACUUCAAAGGUGCCAUGGCUAUUUUCCACUUCUAUCUCGAACAUCUCUCGCAGAGAAAUGCAGGCAGAUUAAA